UCGAACGAAGCACUUUAUUACAAUUUCUUCGGAAUGACGAUUUAGUGACCGAUUGGCGGACGGGUGAGUAACGCGUGGGUAACCUGCCUUAUACAGGGGGAUAACAGUUAGAAAUGGCUGCUAAUACCGCAUAAGCGCACAGGAUUGCAUGAUCUGGUGUGAAAAACUCCGGUGGUAUAAGAUGGACCCGCGUCUGAUUAGCUGGUUGGUGAGGUAACGGCCCACCAAGGCGACGAUCAGUAGCCGACCUGAGAGGGUGACCGGCCACAUUGGGACUGAGACACGGCCCAAACUCCUACGG
Molecule: ribosomal RNA, 301 nt
Filed under: uncultured bacterium
Lineage: Bacteria
Description: bacterial SSU rRNA
Rfam family: Bacterial small subunit ribosomal RNA (bases 58-301)
Source: RNAcentral